CAUGUCCUUUUGAAAAUAAUUUAAGGUCUGAUCUGCUCAAUGAGGAGUUAAAUUGCCGCGGUAUUUUGACCGUGCGAAGGUAGCAUAAUAAUUAGUUUUUUUAUUGAAAGCUGGAAUGAAUGAUUGGACGAGAAAACAACUGUCUCUAUUAGAUUUAUUAUUGAAUUUAACUUUUAAGUGAAAAGGCUUAAAUUUUUCUAUAAGACGAGAAGACCCUAUAGAGUUUAAUAUUUUGUUUAAGUUAAAAAUUUUUGGAAUUAAUUAUUUUUACUUUUAAUAAUAUUUAGUUGGGGUGACUAGAAGAUUUAUUAAACUCUUCUAAUUUAUUAAUAUUGAUUUAUAGAUUUAAAUUCUGGGUUUUCCAAGUUUAAAAUUAAUUACCUUAGGGAUAACAGCGUAAUUUCUCUUUAGAGUUCUUAUUGGAAGGGAAGUUUGCGACCUCGAUGUUGGAUUAAAAUUAAUAUUGGGUGCAGUAGCUCAAUUAUUAGGUCUGUUCGACCUUUAAAAUUUUACAUGAUCUGAGU
Molecule: ribosomal RNA, 524 nt
Filed under: Agrypnus sp. NLG
Lineage: Eukaryota; Metazoa; Arthropoda; Insecta; Coleoptera; Elateridae
Description: partial 16S ribosomal RNA
Rfam family: Bacterial large subunit ribosomal RNA
Source: RNAcentral